RNAcentral lists this long non-coding RNA (299 nucleotides) under Mytilus galloprovincialis (Mediterranean mussel). Lineage: Eukaryota; Metazoa; Mollusca; Bivalvia; Mytilida; Mytilidae. The record is from RNAcentral.
CUACCAUUUGAUUUUUAUGGGGGGGGGGGGGCUAGGAUGAAAUUUGAAAAAAAUAGGCAGGACAGGAGUUUUGAGUAAAAAAAAGGCAGGAUGAGACACUUGCAAAAAAAAAAGUCAGGACGACAAUUUAGGUAAAAAAAAAGUCAGGAUAAACUAAAAAAAAAAAAAGGCAGGACCGAACAGAGUGAAAAAUAAAAAGGCAGGACAGAGAUUACAGCUAAAAAAAAAAUGCAGGACAAAAUUUUUCAUCCUAGCCCCCCCCCCCCCCCCCAUAAAAAUCAAAUGGUAGCUCCCUUAAU